Molecule: ribosomal RNA, 515 nt
Filed under: Armases cinereum
Lineage: Eukaryota; Metazoa; Arthropoda; Malacostraca; Decapoda; Sesarmidae
Description: partial 12S ribosomal RNA
Source: RNAcentral
AAAAUUCUAUGAAAUUUAUAAAUAAUAAAAGGUAAAAUUUAACUAUUAUUUUAUAUUUAAUUAGUAAUUGUAAUUGAAGCUAAGAAAUCUAUUUAUAAACUAGGAUUAGAUACCCUAUUAUUUUAGAAAUUGACAUAAAACUAGAUUAGUAUUAGUUAUAUACUUAAAAAUUAAAAAAUUUGGCGGUGAUUUAAUCUUUUCAGAGGAAUUUGUUUUUUAAUCGAUAAACCACGAAAAAUCUUACUUAUUUUUGUUUAAAUAUAAUUUCAGUUUGUAUACCAUCAUUAUCAGAUAAUUCUAAAAGGAAAAAUUAUUAAAAAUAAAAUAAUUAUUUAAAUUAGAUCAAGGUGCAGCUAAUAAAUAAGGUAAAAUGAAUUACAAUAAAUUAUUUUAUAAUGGAUUAAUAAAAUAAUUUUUAUUAUAAAGGAGGAUUUGAUAGUAUUAUAAUUUUAAUAAGUUUAUAAGAUAAUAGCUCUAAAUCAUGUACAUAUCGCCCGUCGCUUUCAUUUAUAAAU